AAGCCCAAAGUCCAUCUCCCUAAGCCCGUUAGAGUAACUUCUUUCUCUUUACCAAGAAACGACAGCUUUGACCAAUGUAAUACGUUUAGCACGGUGUCUUCAAGCCAAGGAGGAGAGGGAGGAUUGGGUACAGAGGUUGUACAAGGACCUUGGUCAGAUAAUGUCAACGAUGAUGAAAAUGGGACCGGAUUUCUUGCUGCUUAUGAUGAUCAUGGUUUUGUUAACGGUUCAGAUUUCGAGUGCCAGUCUCAUGUACCAGCAAGUGAUGACGAUAAUUCUCUCGAGAAGCUUUACGAAGAGUAUCUCCAGCUUCUGAAGACAAACGAUGAUCAAG
Molecule: long non-coding RNA, 334 nt
Filed under: Theobroma cacao (cacao)
Lineage: Eukaryota; Viridiplantae; Streptophyta; Magnoliopsida; Malvales; Malvaceae
Description: long non-coding RNA (TCAC_LNC000605)
Source: RNAcentral